CACAGUAAACCAGACAGACAGAGAGGAAAAGCGACCCAGAUAACAAGCGUUAUCACUCCACAGCGUUUGACUGGAUAACAGGCUGUCGUAGAGGGAAUGAAUCUCAGAGCCUCAUCCACAGGGAGCCUCCCGGCAAUCUGAGGAUUUUUUUUGUGAGGAUUCCUUGAUUGAGAGGAGGAUUCUGUGGGAAUAUUGGUGUCGGAAGCUGGAAUACUGUGCCAUGAGUGGGAAUAGGAGGCGGAAGAGGGAUUGCUGAAGCAUGGAGCAGGCAAAAGGGCGGAGAGAUGGGCUCUCUUCAUCCAGUGAGAACCCUCGGCCGGUGGUCCGGAGCGGGACAGAUGGGCUGGGCGUGUCCUGGCAGGGUCCACGCACGCUGGUGCUCCAAAAGAACUCUCAGGGCUUCGGCUUUACUCUGCGUCACUUCAUCGUUUACCCGCCAGAGUCCGCUCUGCACACCACUCUCAAGGUGAGGAGAAUAAAAGCUGUCACAAAAUUCAAAUAUAAGAACACAGGACAGAAAAACAUUCAGUAAGAUGCAAGCUAAACAAACUAUCCCUGUCACAAGUAGUGAAGUAUAGUAUAAUAAUGUCGUUCCC
RNAcentral lists this long non-coding RNA (596 nucleotides) under Danio rerio (zebrafish). Its description in RNAcentral is "lncRNA si:ch73-14o21.1 (ENSDARG00000097747.2)". Lineage: Eukaryota; Metazoa; Chordata; Actinopteri; Cypriniformes; Danionidae. The record is from RNAcentral.